UGUACAUCCCACUCGUCUGAUUGGCUGAAAGCAGCUCCAGGUCCCGCCUCUGAGGCUUUAUGAAAGCAUCCUCUGCUCUGUUCAUCACUCUGCUGAUCACACUGACAUCAUGCUGCUCUCCGUCUGCACUCUGCUCUCUGCUCUGGCGUUGGUCAGUUCACACAAAGCUGUGACACAACAGCCUUCGGUUAUAACAGCAGAUGUGGGUAAAACUGUCACUAUGGACUGUAACAUCGCAAAGGAUGAAGGUCAAUAUGUCAGCUGGUAUAAACAGAUUCCACAAGAAGUUCCAGAGUUUGUGCUGAGAUUUUAUCAUUCUCUCAGCUCUCCUGAUAAAUAUGGAGACAGUUUUUCAUCCACACGCUUCACAUCUAAAGCUCCUACAAAUAUCGACUAUCAGUUAAUAAUCAGUAAUGUGGAGGUGGGAGACUCAGCAGUGUAUUACUGUAACACAUGGGACAACUCUACUAAAGAAUACGUAUCACAGUGAUGUACACCAUGACAAAAACCUCCUCACUGCUCACACUCACUUCUGCUUUCACACAACACCAGAAAGAACAAAAACCUCAACUUCAAAUCAUUGGAACUGAAGUGGAAACUCACUUAAUGUUCACUGAAGACACUUUGAAUUCUUCACAUGUAAAGAUCACAGAUACGGUACGACUUUUUAUUCCACUUUUAUGUAAACAGACACAGAUGGUUGAUGAUUCCAUCAUGUUCUCAGCUCAGUUGUUUGUCUGUAAUGAUCUCAGUGUGAUCAGGUGAUCUACAUACGAGAGCUUUCCCACUGAUUCCCUCUGAUGGUUGUGAUUAGUGACAUUGCCUGACAGAUACCUGAUGUGGUCAGAAAGUGGCAGAAAGUAAAUCCAUGAGAUGUUUGAAGUAACUUAAAGUUAUCUUCUGUAAUUCAGACCAAGAGACAUUUGUAACAGCAGGAUUCCAGGCCACACUGUUUCACUGUGAUCUCCACUGAAACGCUUAAACACUCAGUCAUAAGGUUUUCUCUACAAUCUUUGGACAAAUGGAUGCAGUGGAUUUCUAAGAUGUGGCAGUAAUUUGGACCAGAACUGUUCUGAACCGUGGCAUCAGGAAUGUGGGUCAGAGAGACUCUCAGGACAGAGACCUUCUGAUCUCUCUGUCCUCCGUUCCAGACUCUACACUGUCCAUUCAUUCCAUUAAUUUCAUAAUUUGUAUUAAAUUCACCUCAGUGUAUAAUUCUUUAUAUCUCGUAUAGAAACAAAGUUUACUCAGAUGUUCUUCUCAGGAAACAGUAAAGCCUCCAGAGAUUUGAACAGUAUAAAGCUGGGUAGAUGUUAAGAUACUGAGAUAUUAGAUGUACUUAAAUAUCUGAUGGUUGGAGACAGUGACAGUAAUUCAGUAUAAUCUGGAGUCAGAUAUUCAUGUAAUAAAGGACCUCCAGAAGAACAUUCAUCCUUCUCCCAGUCCAGAUAAUACACUGAACUGUAUGGUCCUGUCAGUCUCUAUAGUUUAACACUGACUCAUCUUACAUCACGGACGGAGAAACACACUCAGGAAACACCUGCUGCUCCUCACGCUGACAUCUUAGAUUCAUGUAAAUGAUGAACUUCUUCUCUGAAAUGUAGAGGAACACGUUCUGCAUGUUACUGACUGAUUUCAUCAACAGAAAGUGUGUCAUUGUAACGAUCACUUUGAGAUCAGAUCAUGAAUAAAGAGUGUUUAUAAGAAGAAGACGGUGUGUGUCAGAGUGUUGAUGGUGUGUUAAUAAUAACAGUGAGGUGAGUGUUCAGUAUGUAGUACAUCACUGUGGAGAGCUUCAGCUGUGGUGUGUGAUGUUGAGCGUCUCCUCCCUCUGCCCCUCCUCCUGUCUCUC
Non-coding RNA from Tachysurus vachellii, 1852 nucleotides. The record is from the annotation of a RefSeq genome assembly. NCBI's taxonomy places the organism in Eukaryota, Metazoa, Chordata, Actinopteri, Siluriformes, Bagridae.